UACGUAGGGGGCAAGCGUUGUCCGGAAUCAUUGGGCGUAAAGAGCGUGUAGGCGGCCCGAUAAGUCCGCUGUGAAAGUCCAGGGCUCAACCCUGGAAUGCCGGUGGAUACUGUCGGGCUCGAAUCCGGAAGAGGUGAGUGGAAUUCCGUGGUGUAGCGGUGAAAUGCGCAGAUAUCAGGAGGAACACCAAUGGCGAAGGCAGCUCACUGGGACGGUAUUGACGCUGAGACGCGAAAGCGUGGGGAGCAAACAGG
Molecule: ribosomal RNA, 254 nt
Filed under: uncultured bacterium
Lineage: Bacteria
Description: partial 16S ribosomal RNA
Rfam family: Bacterial small subunit ribosomal RNA
Source: RNAcentral